RNAcentral lists this ribosomal RNA (380 nucleotides) under uncultured eukaryote. Its description in RNAcentral is "partial 18S ribosomal RNA". It matches the Rfam family "Eukaryotic small subunit ribosomal RNA", at positions 592 to 976 of the family's 1831-position model. The record is from RNAcentral.
CAAUAGCGUAUAUUAAAGUUGUUGCGGUUAAAAAGCUCGUAGUUGGAUUUCUGCUGAGAACGACCGGUCCGCCCUUUGGGUGUGUAUCUGGCUCUUUCUUGGCAUCUUCUUGGUGAACGUUGCUGCACUUGACUGUGUGGAGCGCUACCCAGGACUUUUACUUUGAGGAAAUUAGAGUGUUUCAAGCAGGCAUACGCCUUGAAUACAUUAGCAUGGAAUAAUAAGAUAGGACCUCGGUUCUAUUUUGUUGGUUUCUAGAGCUGAGGUAAUGAUUAAUAGGGAUAGUUGGGGGCAUUCGUAUUUAACUGUCAGAGGUGAAAUUCUUGGAUUUGUUAAAGUCGGACUACUGCGAAAGCAUUUGCCAAGGAUGUUUUCAUUGA